CAGUCGCCGCGGUAAUACGAGGGGGGCAAGCGUUGUUCGGAUUUAUUGGGCGUAAAGGGUGCGUAGGCGGUUUGGCAAGUUUGGUGUGAAAUCUUCGGGCUCAACUCGAAGUCUGCAUCAAAAACUGCCGGGCUUGAGUAUGGGAGAGGUGGGUGGAAUUUCCGGUGUAGCGGUGAAAUGCGUAGAUAUCGGAAGGAACACCUGUGGCGAAAGCGGCUCACUGGACCAUAACUGACGCUGAGGCACGAAAGCUAGGGGAGCAAACAGGAUUAGAUACCCCCGUAGUCCCUGUCUCUUAUAC
This 301-nucleotide ribosomal RNA is filed under the name uncultured bacterium. RNAcentral describes it as "partial 16S ribosomal RNA". It matches the Rfam family "Bacterial small subunit ribosomal RNA", at positions 509 to 807 of the family's 1533-position model. The record is from RNAcentral.